UUAUCACUUAAUGAUGCAUUCAUUCCUCAUUUUAUGUUUUGUCCAGGUGUCCACAAUGUUGCCCACCUUCCUGUGAACCCUGACAGCCAUGUGUAUGAGGAUGUCACGGAGGCGGGAGUGUACCGGGACACAGUGGCUCCGGCCCUCCCUUUCCCUGACCACGAAUUGACUCAACAGCGGAGUGACUGGAGGUCAAUGACCUAUCGUCAGGGUUUCAGUCGAGUGGGGCCGUCUGUGGAUGUUCAGGCUCAGAAGGAUCUACCUUUUGAACUGCGAGGAGAAUUAGUCUAAAGAGAGAGGAUGGUCAUUAAAUUUAAUGUUGUAUAACAGAUAGACCUUUUUUUGCUUACAUCUUAGCACACUUUUGUACUAAAGAUAGACGAGGCAAAUACUGUUAGGUUUUAAAAAAAAGUACAUCUAAAAAAAAAGGAUGCAGCUAUGAAAGCUGAUUAUUUAUGUUAUCAUUGCCCAAAAACAAACAAUAUGUGAUGCUGUGUUCACACUGGGCUGACGACACACACUUGAACGUGGGUGUAGCCCAUGGCGUUCACACUGGACAAAAAGGAAGGAUAUUCUUCUAUUUUGUUGCUGCUAUGUACUAGCGCAUGUCCUCCACCUAUAGUUGGAAGAGAAUUUGGUGCGAUAUGUCAAAGUAGUGCAAAUCUUGCUUUAAGCUUUUUCUUUCACAGCUCUAUUCUGACAAACAAAAGACUUGGCGUUGCAUGAUUCUGUCUAGGCACAAACCGCGAUUAUUAAUUACUCUUUCAUGAUCACUUUUCAAAUGGUUAAGGACUCCCUGAUUGGUCAAAGUGCAACAUGAUUUAGCUUUCAAAGCACUUACAUAGUCGUAAAACAGUUGUAGAAACAUGCGUAACAACGCAUGAAUGUGAGAGUUUUGAUAACUGAAACCUGCAUACAUGCGCAUUCAUAGACUUUUUAGAAAGUGAUCACUUACUAAGCGUGGUGUGAAUGUAGUUCAGCUCUUGUGCUUUUUUUUGGGGUCCAGAUUACUCCACCCUUACGUGGCAGUGUUAUCUAACAAACGUUGACAACAGGAUUUCAUGUCUGCCAUGAACACCAGUGAAAAUCUAAAAUCCAGAUUAUUCCAACUCCCAACGUUAACGUGCCUACGAUAGCACAGGGGUUAGUAUGAAACACUUUCUGCUCCUGCUACUAAUAAACACCAACACUUCCUGACCACAUUUGAACUCUGGCACCAUGGUUCACUUAGUCAAAGUUAAGGCCCAGGGGCCGGAUCUGGCCCUCCAAGAUCAUUUUGGAGGGUAAAGCAUUGAAAUUAAUUUAAGGUUUAAAUUGAUUUAUUCUGGAAUAAUAUUCUUGCCUGUUUUUCCAUGGUAAUAUGAAGAAGUUAUCUUUUUAAAGUUUUAGUAAAUUUAGUAAAGUGUGUUUUGGAUUUUCGCCCCCUUGUGGUUGAGUUUGACACCCCUGAUUUACAGAAAACUGAGACCCCUCGUGUUCAGGGAGACCAGAGUUUUUCUGUGAGGUCUACAUCAGAGUUUGGACAGUCUCUCACACCUACCCAAAGAAAAUUGACUAUUUGAGGACACAGGCAAUCCAUUAUGAACAUAAACUAAUGAUCACAUAUAAUUAACUUGUUAAAGCUGUAGAAUCUGAAGUCAUAAAAAAUCCACUUCACCUUUUUUUCCUUUUUUGUUUUUUGAAUAAGCUCAUUGCUAAUAUUUCCUUUGAACACUUGAGAGUCUCCAGUAAUUAAGUUAUUAGCUACAAUGAUGAAGAGUAAUAUUUUUAGAAAGCAUGUAUUUUUAAAAACAGAAAGGAGCUUUUAUUGAGGGAUGCAGACCUUUGAUCUCGCAAUUUCUUUAUCUUUAUAUAAACUCAAUUUUUCUGUUAUUGUCUCUGUUAUACUUUUGCUGUUUCUUGGAGCCAGGUUAUGGUCACUACCCCCAGUAUAGUGUUUGCCUGCAGCUAGACGUGAAUCAGUUGAAUAGAGACAAAACCAGACUGACGUGUGCGUGGACGGCAGUGGAGCAGAAGCAACAUAGACGCGCCGCGCCACCCAAGCAACCAUCAUCCUCUUGACCCAUCUGACUUCAACAUUUUCCAGCAUGUACCCAGAUGAAAAGCUGAUGACAGGACCCCGCCCUGCACCCCCCUCCCCCCAACUGGUCAAUUGGAAUCUCUAAAAUGGAAUCAUAUUGAGUGGGGUUUAGCACAGUUGUGUGUUCAGGAGGAUAAGCCAAAUCUGCGUCCACUCUUUAAUCCUGUUUUCUCUCAGAGGGAAGUUCAGCUCACAACACCGGUGAGGGGGAGAAACCAUGCCGGGAAUUUGUCUCAGAGGGAGUGGGCAGACAGAGAGAGAUUGGGAACAGAAGAGGACGGCUAAGCUGCAGCAGUAGCCACCACUGCAAAAGCAGACCGUCCUUCUCUGCUCGUAGGAGAUACGUUUUACUGUUUUCUUUCUCUGCACAGAAAGUAAUAUUAUAAUGGUGAUAUUUAUUUAGAGAGGAUCAGAAAAUUCUGUAUCUAGUCUAUAAAGUGAGAAAUGUCAAAUGAAAACAAAAUAAAAAGGGGCACAAAAAACCAAGAAUGUUGUAGAAAUUGUUGUACAACUGAGUGGGGUCUCGUGAAUGUCAAUUAUUUCCCAAGUUUAACCUCUUAUGCUCUGUUCAAACUUAUCACCUUUUUCAACAAUUCUAGGUAUAAUUUCUUCAUUUUUUUAUAUUCUAUGAAAGUCAUUUCUCUUUUUCUUUUCUUCUGAAUUAUCUGUUGUUUGACUUGCUGUCACAGUUUUCAAAAAAUGGUCACAUAACUGAUUUGAAUUUGAUACAAUUUUAUGAAAAUAAUUAAGAUGAUUGUGUGGAAUAAUUACGGAAAAUGCAGAAAACGUAUUUUUAUUUUAAAGCAGUUUUUUUAAUUUCUUUAUUUUUGCUGCUGUGUACAUAUUUUAUCUAAUAAUGCAGUCUAAUCACAUUCAUUUAUCU
Long non-coding RNA from Oryzias javanicus (javanese ricefish), 2963 nucleotides. Lineage: Eukaryota; Metazoa; Chordata; Actinopteri; Beloniformes; Adrianichthyidae. The record is from Ensembl.